Molecule: ribosomal RNA, 459 nt
Filed under: uncultured bacterium
Lineage: Bacteria
Description: partial 16S ribosomal RNA
Rfam family: Bacterial small subunit ribosomal RNA
Source: RNAcentral
CCUACGGGUGGCAGCAGUGAGGAAUAUUGGUCAAUGGCCGGAAGGCUGAACCAGCCAUGCCGCGUGAAGGUCAGUGCCCUAUGGGUUGUAAACUUCUUUUAUAAAGGAAUAAAGUGAGGCACGUGUGCCUUUUUGUAUGUACUUUAUGAAUAAGGAUCGGCUAACUCCGUGCCAGCCGCCGCGGUAAUACGGAGGAUCCGAGCGUUAUCCGGAUUUAUUGGGUUUAAAGGGAGCGUAGAUGGGUUGUUAAGUCAGUUGUGAAAGUUUGCGGCUCAACCGUAAAAUUGCAAUUGAUACUGGCAGCCUUGAGUACAGUUGAGGUAGGCGGAAUUCGUGGUGUAGCGGUGAAAUGCUUAGAUAUCACGAAGAACUCCGAUUGCGAAGGCAGCUUACUAAACUGCCACUGACAUUGAUGCUCGAAAGUGUGGGUAUCAAACAGGAUUAGAUACCCGGGUAGUC